Molecule: ribosomal RNA, 2929 nt
Filed under: Bacillus cereus
Lineage: Bacteria; Bacillati; Bacillota; Bacilli; Caryophanales; Bacillaceae
Description: bacterial LSU rRNA
Rfam family: Bacterial large subunit ribosomal RNA
Source: RNAcentral
UUUGGUUAAGUUAGAAAGGGCGCACGGUGGAUGCCUUGACACUAGGAGUCGAUGAAGGACGGGACUAACGCCGAUAUGCUUCGGGGAGCUGUAAGUAAGCUUUGAUCCGAAGAUUUCCGAAUGGGGAAACCCACCAUACGUAAUGGUAUGGUAUCCUUAUCUGAAUACAUAGGGUAAGGAAGACAGACCCAGGGAACUGAAACAUCUAAGUACCUGGAGGAAGAGAAAGCAAAUGCGAUUUCCUGAGUAGCGGCGAGCGAAACGGAACAUAGCCCAAACCAAGAGGCUUGCCUCUUGGGGUUGUAGGACAUUCUAUACGGAGUUACAAAGGAACGAGGUAGACGAAGCGACCUGGAAAGGUCCGUCGUAGAGGGUAACAACCCCGUAGUCGAAACUUCGUUCUCUCUUGAAUGUAUCCUGAGUACGGCGGAACACGUGAAAUUCCGUCGGAAUCUGGGAGGACCAUCUCCCAAGGCUAAAUACUCCCUAGUGAUCGAUAGUGAACCAGUACCGUGAGGGAAAGGUGAAAAGCACCCCGGAAGGGGAGUGAAAGAGAUCCUGAAACCGUGUGCCUACAAAUAGUCAGAGCCCGUUAACGGGUGAUGGCGUGCCUUUUGUAGAAUGAACCGGCGAGUUACGAUCCCGUGCGAGGUUAAGCUGAAGAGGCGGAGCCGCAGCGAAAGCGAGUCUGAAUAGGGCGUUUAGUACGUGGUCGUAGACCCGAAACCAGGUGAUCUACCCAUGUCCAGGGUGAAGUUCAGGUAACACUGAAUGGAGGCCCGAACCCACGCACGUUGAAAAGUGCGGGGAUGAGGUGUGGGUAGCGGAGAAAUUCCAAUCGAACCUGGAGAUAGCUGGUUCUCCCCGAAAUAGCUUUAGGGCUAGCCUUAAGUGUAAGAGUCUUGGAGGUAGAGCACUGAUUGGACUAGGGGUCCUCAUCGGAUUACCGAAUUCAGUCAAACUCCGAAUGCCAAUGACUUAUCCUUAGGAGUCAGACUGCGAGUGAUAAGAUCCGUAGUCAAAAGGGAAACAGCCCAGACCGCCAGCUAAGGUCCCAAAGUGUGUAUUAAGUGGAAAAGGAUGUGGAGUUGCUUAGACAACUAGGAUGUUGGCUUAGAAGCAGCCACCAUUUAAAGAGUGCGUAAUAGCUCACUAGUCGAGUGACUCUGCGCCGAAAAUGUACCGGGGCUAAAUACACCACCGAAGCUGCGGAUUGAUACCAAUGGUAUCAGUGGUAGGGGAGCGUUCUAAGGACAGUGAAGUCAGACCGUAAGGACUGGUGGAGUGCUUAGAAGUGAGAAUGCCGGUAUGAGUAGCGAAAGACGGGUGAGAAUCCCGUCCACCGAAUGCCUAAGGUUUCCUGAGGAAGGCUCGUCCGCUCAGGGUUAGUCAGGACCUAAGCCGAGGCCGACAGGCGUAGGCGAUGGACAACAGGUUGAUAUUCCUGUACCACCUCUUUAUCGUUUGAGCAAUGGAGGGACGCAGAAGGAUAGAAGAAGCGUGCGAUUGGUUGUGCACGUCCAAGCAGUUAGGCUGAUAAGUAGGCAAAUCCGCUUAUCAUAAAGGCUGAGCUGUGAUGGGGAAGCUCCUUAUGGAGCGAAGUCUUUGAUUCCCCGCUGCCAAGAAAAGCUUCUAGCGAGAUAAAAGGUGCCUGUACCGCAAACCGACACAGGUAGGCGAGGAGAGAAUCCUAAGGUGUGCGAGAGAACUCUGGUUAAGGAACUCGGCAAAAUGACCCCGUAACUUCGGGAGAAGGGGUGCUUUCUUAACGGAAAGCCGCAGUGAAUAGGCCCAAGCGACUGUUUAGCAAAAACACAGCUCUCUGCGAAGCCGUAAGGCGAAGUAUAGGGGGUGACACCUGCCCGGUGCUGGAAGGUUAAGGAGAGGGGUUAGCGUAAGCGAAGCUCUGAACUGAAGCCCCAGUAAACGGCGGCCGUAACUAUAACGGUCCUAAGGUAGCGAAAUUCCUUGUCGGGUAAGUUCCGACCCGCACGAAAGGUGUAACGAUUUGGGCACUGUCUCAACCAGAGACUCGGUGAAAUUAUAGUACCUGUGAAGAUGCAGGUUACCCGCGACAGGACGGAAAGACCCCGUGGAGCUUUACUGUAGCCUGAUAUUGAAUUUUGGUACAGUUUGUACAGGAUAGGCGGGAGCCAUUGAAACCGGAGCGCUAGCUUCGGUGGAGGCGCUGGUGGGAUACCGCCCUGACUGUAUUGAAAUUCUAACCUACGGGUCUUAUCGACCCGGGAGACAGUGUCAGGUGGGCAGUUUGACUGGGGCGGUCGCCUCCUAAAGUGUAACGGAGGCGCCCAAAGGUUCCCUCAGAAUGGUUGGAAAUCAUUCGUAGAGUGCAAAGGCAUAAGGGAGCUUGACUGCGAGACCUACAAGUCGAGCAGGGACGAAAGUCGGGCUUAGUGAUCCGGUGGUUCCGCAUGGAAGGGCCAUCGCUCAACGGAUAAAAGCUACCCCGGGGAUAACAGGCUUAUCUCCCCCAAGAGUCCACAUCGACGGGGAGGUUUGGCACCUCGAUGUCGGCUCAUCGCAUCCUGGGGCUGUAGUCGGUCCCAAGGGUUGGGCUGUUCGCCCAUUAAAGCGGUACGCGAGCUGGGUUCAGAACGUCGUGAGACAGUUCGGUCCCUAUCCGUCGUGGGCGUAGGAAAUUUGAGAGGAGCUGUCCUUAGUACGAGAGGACCGGGAUGGACGCACCGCUGGUGUACCAGUUGUUCUGCCAAGGGCAUAGCUGGGUAGCUAUGUGCGGAAGGGAUAAGUGCUGAAAGCAUCUAAGCAUGAAGCCCCCCUCAAGAUGAGAUUUCCCAUAGCGUAAGCUAGUAAGAUCCCUGAAAGAUGAUCAGGUUGAUAGGUUCGAGGUGGAAGCAUGGUGACAUGUGGAGCUGACGAAUACUAAUAGAUCGAGGACUUAACCAUUUAA